UACGAAGGGGGCUAGCGUUGCUCGGAAUUACUGGGCGUAAAGGGAGCGUAGGCGGCUAGUUUAGUCAGAGGUGAAAGCCCAGGGCUCAACCUUGGAAUUGCCUUUGAUACUGGCUAUCUUGAGUACGGAAGAGGUAUGUGGAACUCCGAGUGUAGAGGUGAAAUUCGUAGAUAUUCGGAAGAACACCAGUGGCGAAGGCGACAUACUGGUCCGUUACUGACGCUGAGGCUCGAAAGCGUGGGGAGCAAACAGG
Molecule: ribosomal RNA, 253 nt
Filed under: uncultured bacterium
Lineage: Bacteria
Description: partial 16S ribosomal RNA
Rfam family: Bacterial small subunit ribosomal RNA
Source: RNAcentral